GAAAGACGGGUGAGAAUCCCGUCCACCGAUUGACUAAGGUUUCCAGAGGAAGGCUCGUCCGCUCUGGGUUAGUCGGGUCCUAAGCUGAGGCCGACAGGCGUAGGCGAUGGAUAACAGGUUGAUAUUCCUGUACCACCUAUAAUCGUUUUAAUCGAUGGGGGGACGCAGUAGGAUAGGCGAAGCGUGCGAUUGGAUUGCACGUCUAAGCAGUAAGGCUGAGUAUUAGGCAAAUCCGGUACUCGUUAAGGCUGAGCUGUGAUGGGGAGAAGACAUUGUGUCUUCGAGUCGUUGAUUUCACACUGCCGAGAAAAGCCUCUAGAUAGAAAAUAGGUGCCCGUACCGCAAACCGACACAGGUAGUCAAGAUGAGAAUUCUAAGGUGAGCGAGCGAACUCUCGUUAAGGAACUCGGCAAAAUGACCCCGUAACUUCGGGAGAAGGGGUGCUCUUUAGGGUUAACGCCCAGAAGAGCCGCAGUGAAUAGGCCCAAGCGACUGUUUAUCAAAAACACAGGUCUCUGCUAAACCGUAAGGUGAUGUAUAGGGGCUGACGCCUGCCCGGUGCUGGAAGGUUAAGAGGAGUGGUUAGCUUCUGCGAAGCUACGAAUCGAAGCCCCAGUAAACGGCGGCCGUAACUAUAACGGUCCUAAGGUAGCGAAAUUCCUUGUCGGGUAAGUUCCGACCCGCACGAAAGGCGUAACGAUUUGGGCACUGUCUCAACGAGAGACUCGGUGAAAUCAUAGUACCUGUGAAGAUGCAGGUUACCCGCGACAGGACGGAAAGACCCCGUGGAGCUUUACUGUAGCCUGAUAUUGAAAUUCGGCACAGCUUGUACAGGAUAGGUAGGAGCCUUUGAAACGUGAGCGCUAGCUUACGUGGAGGCGCUGGUGGGAUACUACCCUAGCUGUGUUGGCUUUCUAACCCGCACCACUUAUCGUGGUGGGAGACAGUGUCAGGCGGGCAGUUUGACUGGGGCGGUCGCCUCCUAAAAGGUAACGGAGGCGCUCAAAGGUUCCCUCAGAAUGGUUGGAAAUCAUUCAUAGAGUGUAAAGGCAUAAGGGAGCUUGACUGCGAGACCUACAAGUCGAGCAGGGUCGAAAGACGGACUUAGUGAUCCGGUGGUUCCGCAUGGAAGGGCCAUCGCUCAACGGAUAAAAGCUACCCCGGGGAUAACAGGCUUAUCUCCCCCAAGAGUUCACAUCGACGGGGAGGUUUGGCACCUCGAUGUCGGCUCAUCGCAUCCUGGGGCUGUAGUCGGUCCCAAGGGUUGGGCUGUUCGCCCAUUAAAGCGGUACGCGAGCUGGGUUCAGAACGUCGUGAGACAGUUCGGUCCCUAUCCGUCGUGGGCGUAGGAAAUUUGAGAGGAGCUGUCCUUAGUACGAGAGGACCGGGAUGGACAUACCUCUGGUGUACCAGUUGUCGUGCCAACGGCAUAGCUGGGUAGCUAUGUGUGGACGGGAUAAGUGCUGAAAGCAUCUAAGCAUGAAGCCCCCCUCAAGAUGAGAUUUCCCAACUUCGGUUAUAAGAUCCCUCAAAGAUGAUGAGGUUAAUAGGUUCGAGGUGGAAGCAUGGUGACAUGUGGAGCUGACGAAUACUAAUCGAUCGAAGACUUAAUCAA
This 1615-nucleotide ribosomal RNA is filed under the name Staphylococcus aureus. RNAcentral's name for it is "partial 23S ribosomal RNA". It matches the Rfam family "Bacterial large subunit ribosomal RNA", at positions 1312 to 2925 of the family's 2925-position model. The record is from RNAcentral. Lineage: Bacteria; Bacillati; Bacillota; Bacilli; Caryophanales; Staphylococcaceae.